AUGCUGUUCCAGGUGGGAGGGCAGGGCGCACGGCCCACCUUCUUCGAGAUGUCCGCGGCGCAGCAGCUCCCGGCCAGCCUCCGCGCGGCGCUCUCCUACUCGUUCGGGGUUUUUGCACUAAGGAGGCCAUCCUUGCAUAAAGUUUUAGAUUAUGAAGAUGAAUUCUUUGCUUUGUUAAUGUCUGUUCUUGAGUCCCAUAGUCUACGAACAACAGAUGGUUCCUUUUCAGAGUCGUUAUAUGGUCUCAGGCGGAGGCCUGUUAACGUUUCUGUGAACAGAAGUAGUCCUGGUGCAGAAUCUAAUGUCAAAGUCUAUGACUCUGCACUAAGGAAGCGCCAGAAAACCCUCUCUGUUAUAUUUUUGGUUGUUUUACCGUAUUUCAAGUCAAAGUUGCAGUCUGUAUAUAACAAAGAAAGAGAAGCAAGAUUGCAGGCAAGCCUAUGGGAUCAGGGUGAGGUUAGAUUCGACGAAGCUGGCUUUGUAUCAGAUCAACAAGGGGAGACUUCUCAAGCACAAGUUGGGACUACAGCUGGAGAAGUGUCACAUCUCACACGCCUUAGGACCAAUUUUGCAGCACUAAUAGGUGUUUGUUAUCCAUGGAUUCAUGCGACUCAUGAAGGCCUUUCAUUUGCUUACCAGUUGCUGUAUUUGUUGGAUGCUACUGCAUUUUACAGUCCAGGACUUCAUGUGCUUGGGCUUCAUGUUUGUCGUGCUACUGGACAAGAGCUGAUGGAUUCAUCUUCUAGGAUAUCAAGAAUUAGAAGUCGUGAACUCGAGAGACUUCGUGGUCCUCCAUGGUUAAAGACUGUCCAGAGGGUGCUCCUUAAUUGUACGUACACGACUCUAGAUUAUGCACAAACUGGUUUAAUUGCUGCGGUCUUCUUUUUCAAGAUGAUGGAGUGGUGGUAUCAAUCUGCUGAAGAAAGAAUGUCAGCUCCGACUGUAUACCCCCCACCUCCUCCGCCGCCGCUACCAAAGGUUGCUAAAGAUGGACUUCCCUUGCCAACUGACAGGACGCUGUGCCCUCUGUGCUGCCAAAAGCGCAACAACCCGUCUGUUCUUUCUGUUUCUGGUUUUGUGUUCUGCUACAGUUGCAUAUUCAAGUCUGUCUCUCAGCAUAAAAGAUGUCCCGUGACGUUGAUGCCUGCCACUGUUGAGCAAAUCAGGCGCCUCUUCCAUGAUUUAUAG
This 1188-nucleotide ribosomal RNA is filed under the name Triticum aestivum (bread wheat). RNAcentral's name for it is "partial small subunit ribosomal RNA". The record is from RNAcentral. Lineage: Eukaryota; Viridiplantae; Streptophyta; Magnoliopsida; Poales; Poaceae.